CGACGGAUAGAGAUUAGGGAGGAGGGAGCAGAGGUUAGGCGCGGACAGAAGUGGGAAAUUAGAUUUUAACCCCAUUUCUUCCUCCGCAUCGCAUCGCAUCGAGCUAUAUAAAGGUAGGCGAGGGGGAAGCGCGGAGGGAGGGUUUUGGAAUUUGGCCGCCGUUAACCGCGCGUGAGCUGAGAACCGAGACCCAGCGGAAGCGGAGGAGGCGCUGCUGCUGCUGCGAGCCCGGCUCUCUAACACACACACACAGCGGAAGCGGAAGCGGAGGAGGAGGAGCUGUUUUGGCGGCGGUUCCCGGCGGCGAGGAUGAGCGGCGGAGGAGGGGGAGGGAGGGGGCCGGCGGCGGGACCUGUGCCGGCGUCCGCGAGGAAGCUGGUGCAGGGGCUCAAGGAGAUCGUGAGCCGCUCCGACUCAGAGAUCUACGCGGCGCUGCGCGACUGCGGCAUGGACCCUGACGAGGCGGUCAGCCGCCUCCUCUCCCAAGAUACUUUUCAAGAGGUAAAGAACAAGCGCGACAAGAAAAAGGAGGUGAAUAAAGGUACACCUGAGCCAAGAUCCCGAGGAGCAAAUAACUCAAACAGUCGUGCUGCUAGAGUUGGCACAGAUCGUACUAACCGAAGCAGUUCAGUUCAGUCUGUAUCCGGCGGAGUUGAUAACGUGGCUUCAAGGUCAUCGAUAUUGGGACCUGGUGUUCCAUCAACCAAUUCCACUCAGAAGCCAACAGUUCCGAGUUCCUUUGCAAACAAGGACGUGGUUUCUGAUGGAUUAUGCGGAGCAUCACAAUCAUCGUCAGGAUUUCAGCAGAAUUGGUGUGGGGUGCCUGGUCAGAUGUCAAUGGCUGAUAUAGUUAAAAUGGGCAGACCUCAAGGAAGGUCUUCUAGCAAGUCUAUGGCUACGGCAGACAAAGCAUUUGCUGGUCAAAACCCAUCUUUGUCAAAUGAAACCAACCAUAACACGAAACAAUCCGCAAGCAGAGUCGCCCCGACAACAUUUGACCAAGGAUUUCCAGCUCUUCCAGAUCCCAUUCCUCAAGUUAUAAAUUCAAAUCACACUUCGGCAGACAGCCACCAAACACAUGAAAGUGUUUGGUUUCCACAGGAUGGACCACCAUCACAAAGUCAAUUCACAGCCCCUGAGCCAUCUGGUGGCCCAUUAUCAUUUGUGGCAUCAUUGGAGUCAUCAGUGCUGGUUGCUGAUGCCGUUAACUUGCAUGAGAAGUCUCACACAGAAGAUAACACUUCAAUUGUAAAGCAGACAGCAAUACCUUCUGAGAGACACUUGGAAGUUCUUCACGACCAAGUUCGAUUCGGUGAUGAAUUGUUGCAGAACUCAAGUACAUACCAAUCUCAAAUGCAUUCAUUUGCCGAUGAAGUUGAGGUUUCCAACGUUGAUGUGGACUCAGCUGCAACGAACUUUCAGCAUCUAAGCUUGCAAAACGAAGAUCUAGCAGCAGCUAAUUCUGCUGAUGAUAAUCCAGCGGUUAUAAUCCCCGAUCAUCUACAACUUGAAAAUACAGACUGCGCACAUCUGAGCUUUGGUAGUUUUGAAUCUGGUGCCUUCUCUGGGUUGCUUCCAUCCAAGGUCCCUAAAUAUAGUGUGGAAGAGGUGCCCAACUCAGAUGAAACUCCAGCAGUUGAUCAAAUAGAUGUCAGGAAUCAAGAUUAUUAUGACAAUGGUGCUCUACAGUCAUCAGCAAAUGAGGAUGUUGAAACCAGAAUAGGUACCAACAUUGAGAAUACUGAUGUCCCUUCAGUUUCGCAGCCUGAUAUACUGAUGCAAGGUGCUCUAGAUGUGUCUGGUCUUCAGUAUAACCCGCCAUCAGUUUCGGAUCAUGUGUAUCCGAACACAACACAGCCAAGUAUAAUGGAGAGCCAACAAGGAAACGCUCAAGCACAACAUCUUUCCCAUUUUUCAAGCUUGCUGGCACAGCAAGCUAACACUCUGCAAAGCAACUUCUUGGGGUCAAAUCUUACCCAGCACCGGGAUUUUGACUUUUCACCAUUUUUAUCAGCACAGUCAGCUAUGAAAUAUAACCCAGCUGUGCCAACUACCAGUUACCCAAUCUCCAUGCAGGAGAAUUUAAACCAAGGGGGGUUCUCCAACACUCAAUCUACACAAAAUCCUCCCAGUACGAGCAUUCCGUCAGGGCUACCUCAACCUCAGCAAUUAUCUUUACAUCCAUACUCUCAGCCAACUCUACCCCUGGGGCCUUUUGCCAGUUUAGUCGGCUAUCCAUACUUGCCUCAAAACUACUAUGUACCACCAACAGCCUUCCAGCAAGCGUAUUCAAGUAAUGAACCUUUCCAUCAAUCUGGUGGUGGUGGUGCUGCUGUGCCUGGAUCUGCUAUGAAAUACUCGAUGCCGCAGUACAAGAGUGGCCUUCCUGUCAUGAGCCCACCACAGCAUUCAUCAGCAGUCUCUGGUUAUGGAGGCUUUGGCAGCUCAAGUAAUAUACCGAAUUUUGGCCAAAACCAGAGUGCCUCCCCUGCCACGACUAUGGGGAUUGAUGAAGCUUUAAGUUCACAGUUGAAAGAGGCCAGUCACUACAUGGCCUUACAGCAGAGUGACAACUCAGCGAUGUGGCUUCAUGGAGCUGCUGGUUCAAGAGCUGUUUCAGCUGUUCCACCUGGUAACUUUUAUGGCUUCCAGGGCCAGAGCGCGCAGGGUGGCUUCCGCGAGGUGCAGCAGCCCUCUCAGUACGGUGGUCUUGGGUACCCGAGCUUUUACCAGUCGCAGAAUGGUAUGCAGCAGGAGCACCCGCAGAACCCUGCGGAGGGAAGCCUGAACAGCUCCCAGACUGCCCCGUCUCAGCCAUCACACCAGAUGUGGCAGCACAGCUACUAAGAUGUAGGUCUGUGCUUCUGAAGAAGAAGCGUCUUCUAGGCUAUCUGCGCACCUUGGCAUCCUCCAUGAAGCAAACAGACCAGCUGAGCUGCCUUCUUGAGCGCCAAGAAGGGGAGGUCGAUGCGCUUCUAUAGUUUCGAAGUAUGUUGGUUUUCCUUUUUUCGCUCACUCUUCUUUCUCACUUGUUGUGUGCCUCGGGACUAGUUUCAGAUCGUCGUGAGUUCUACUCGAUAGUGAGCUGCUUUCUUGUAACAUCUUGAGCUCAUCUCCUGGGCGCUGGAGGCAUCGGGAUGAUUAUUGGUGAUAUUUUUGCAUUUAAGGGAUGUCUGGAAGGCAGCUUCGGCUUUGAAGAUCAACUUUUUUUCAUUGACUAAAUCCUUUAACGUCAUGGCCUCUGACGGACGUGAAAUGCGCUCUUCGUGCAGAGUUUGAAGAAGUUAACCACAUUUUAUCUAGACUAGAGAUGCUCUUUGCCAGAUUUAUGUGGAGUUGUGUCAGGUCGCUUCCCGAUGCACUUGGACCCUUCCUGCGUUGCUAUGUUUUCUUUCUUCUUCAGUGUUAUGAACACAAUUCUGGCUGAGCUGACUAGGGUUUGUGUACUUGUUUUUGUUGAUGACGUCUUAAUCUACA
Triticum dicoccoides is the source of this 3477-nucleotide RNA transcript. RefSeq lists it as uncharacterized. The transcript is spliced from 11 exons. The record is from RefSeq and is a predicted model, not a curated record. Lineage: Eukaryota; Viridiplantae; Streptophyta; Magnoliopsida; Poales; Poaceae.